GGCGAGCUCCUCCUGCAGCAGCUGUACCUCCUCACAGGACCAGCCACAAAGUGGGUGCCAGAAGGAGAUCUGCUUGGGGGAGGGGACUGCAGGGGAUUUAGUAACCUUGGGUCUGGGGCCAGGCUGUGUGUCCUUGGCCAAGUCACUUCCCCUCCCUGGACCUGGACCCUCACUCUGAAAUCAAGAGACUGGACUGGUGAUUCCAAAAGGAGAGAAAGGAGACAUUCGGGCGUUCUAAGGCCUUAUUGAAGUGUUGGGAUCCCCCUUACCAAGUUACUGAGGCCUGGUUCAGGCCCAGAGAUUUGGGGGCUGGAGUCCGCUGUUGAGCCACAAGGACUUGAGCCUUGUCAGGGCCUCGUCCUCACUCCCUUCAUUCUCUGCUCAGCUUUGAAUCCUCAGCCUUGGAACUCCUCAGUGACUGAAACAGGGGGACCUAAACUAAAAAGCCUGGACUUACCUAGGGGCAGCAAGUUGGAGUCUGGGGUCCCUGACCUCCCUUCUCCCUUCUUGCUAGUUGCUCAGCCUCCAGAGGCUCCCUGCCCGAGUGUAUUUCCAUUCCCACCCUGUUUAAAUCUGCCUGACUCCAUCCCUCCCAUCCCCGGGAGACUCCCAACAGAUGGAAAUAAAGCUGGCGGUCUGGCUGGAGUGGCAGGGGAAUCACCUCUCCUCCUGUAGCACCCCCGCCCCACAGCCCUCACUGGUCUAGCCCCAGUCUACCUAAGACACAUUGCUGAAGGAACAGUAUUAUGUUUGAUAUUGAUAAUCAAAAGCCGAGUUACUUAUAAUGUCUUGGAGCCCUUAAUUUCCCCCAUUAACAUUUACCAAGGGCCUACGAUGUACCAUGAUUCUAACCAUCUUACCUGUCCUGACUCAUUUCAUCUCUAACAGCCCUACCUAUUAUUAGCCCAUUUCCCAGGGAACAUGCAUAUGGCUAGUAAGGGGCAGAACUGGGAUUUGAACCCGGAUUGUCUGGUGCUAGGACCCAUACUUUUCUUUUUUAGUUGUACAUGGACACAAUACCUUGAUUUUAUUUCUUUAUUUUUAUGUGGUGCUGAGGAUCGAGCCCAGUGCCUCACACGUGCUAGGCGAGCACUUUACCACUGAGCUACAGCCCCAGCCCUAGAACUCAUACUCUUGCCACAUCAUGCUGGAUGCUGGGAAAGCCAACACCUGUGCUUAGGGAAGUGCUUUCUGAAACCUGGGCAGUGCUGUGCUCACCAGGACUGCUUCUCACCUGGGUCUCUGUGCACAAAUUGGCCCUGCAGCUGGCCCCAGUCACCCUCUGUCCAUCACUGGUUUUCCAUUUCCAGCAGGAGCAGAGGAGGAAAACGAAAACAACAGGCCAGGCAGAGAGAAAGCCUAAGCCAGCUGGGUUUUUUGCUGGGGCUGAUCCAGGCUACUUCCCCUCCUGCCCCAGCUCAGAUGGUGAAAGGAACAGGAAUGAGGAUUCGCUGGGGGUUUCGCUUGCCUUCUGAGUUCUUUCAUCACCCAGGGAUCAGAGUUGGCCAGCUCCUGCCCCUACCUCCCUCAUUGUCCCCCGGGCUCCAAAUGAGCCUGUCUUAUUUCCUACUCUGCUCUGAGGGCCUCCUGGUCUGCCUCCCUGGGCAACCAUUCUUCUUAACUGGAAAGACAUGGAGCAGUGCCCCUUUUUAGUCCCCUGCCCCUGGGCCCUUCCUGAGAGUUCUGUUAUACAGUUUGCCCUGAAGCCCUCAGCACGGAGGAGAAGGCACAGGUGAACAGUUUUCAAAGGCUGUAGCUCCAGAAAAACCACAGCACACAGUAGGGACUGAGUAAGUAUUAGUGGAAGGAAUUGUGAACUGGGAGAAAAGAGAGUGAGGUGAAAGAGGUCAUUGGCCAUAAACAGAUGCAAAACAGGCCCACAGCUCAGCAACUCCCCAGACAGGCUCACCUUUGCUGGGACUGGGCCUGGGUGCUUCUGGGGUUCCAAAGGUGGGCCUCCUUUCCAUCCUUUGUCUCUUGGCCACCACCACUGGGGCGGGCCUGGAGAAGAUAGGCAAUUAUAUAUUUCGCAUAGUUGUUGGACUGCCUUGAAUAGGCAAGCUGGCCUUGUGCCCUCUCUCCCUGAGGAUUCACAGAUCAGAGGGCUGCGUCUGUCCUGUCCCCUGCUGCAGAGCCCUGCAACAGAAAAAUUCUGAGCAAUCGAAGUCUCUCUCGCAGUCCUCAGAUAGACCCAGCAGAAGGCCUCCCUUGGGAGAACAGGCCCCUGUUUAACCACGCUGAGAUCCAGGCGAAUCUCUCUGGUGGUAUUUGUCCCAUUUUUUUUUUAAAGUAGAAAUGGAGUUUGACUGCUAAACCCUGCUUCUUUCUAAAUGCAAAGACUAUUGAAAAAAAAAAAAUCUCUGUCCCCAUCUGUAGAAGGGGAUGGCACUGAAGUUUAACCUCAGGGGAUCUCUUGUGGCACUGUUAGUCUGGGUCUGCCACUGUCACGUUGAUGCCCCUGUCUUCCUGUCAUACUUGCAAUGACUUUGAGGGUGGGCCAGCCUCUGGUAAACCCUAGAUGCAAGGCACAAGGACCUUUCAGCCCCUGGCCACAGUGUCCCCCAAUACCCUAGAAUGCUGAUAGAUGUCUG
Molecule: long non-coding RNA, 2591 nt
Filed under: Marmota monax (woodchuck)
Lineage: Eukaryota; Metazoa; Chordata; Mammalia; Rodentia; Sciuridae
Source: RNAcentral